Molecule: long non-coding RNA, 4246 nt
Organism: Peromyscus californicus insignis
Lineage: Eukaryota; Metazoa; Chordata; Mammalia; Rodentia; Cricetidae
Exons: 4
Source: RefSeq, a predicted model, not a curated record
UUUCGACAGGGUUUCCCUGUGUAGCUUUGCGCCUUUCCUGGGACUCACUCGGUAGCCCAGGCUGGCCUCGAACUCACAGAGAUCCGCCUGGCUCUGCCUCCCGAGUGCUGGGAUUAAAGGCGUGCGCCACCACCGCCCGGCCAAUAGCUUCUUUUCAAAGCCGGGCAAUGUUUCUUACAUUAUCUUUCUGAUUCACAUAAAGACACUAACUGUUUAGCCUUCCUGUUAUACCCUCCCCCACCAUCCCUAAGCCCACAGGAUGGAAACUGCAGACCUUCCCUUUUACUGUGCCUUAUCUGCUAGGACCUCCCCUCCAGACACUGCAUGCACCUGCAACGUCGGGUCCCAGCUUUCUGUUCCGGUGGAAAUGGCAGAGUCGGGGAAAUGGGAGAGUAGAAGGGUAAUAAUCUUGUUUUUUUUUCCCUCCCUAUAACAAAAUAUUACAGACAAGAUAAUUAUAAAGAAGAAUAUUUUAUCUCUUACAAUCAAGAGGCUGGGGUGCUCCAGAGUGAGAGGUUCUCAUCUGUCUAAGGCCUUCAUGUUACAUCAUGCUAAGUGAGAAGGUAGAAGGCCAAGGAGCUUCCUCUACAUCUGCCCACAGCCUUGCCUGCUGUCCCUGCCUCUCUGAGUCUCCUUUGUUUUGAGGCAGGACCUUGUUCUCCAGUUGGUCUGGUACUUCCUGUGUAGCCCAGGCUGACCUUGAGCUUGUGGCCGUUCCUGAGGGCUGGGAGUCUAGAUGCACUCCGCCAUGCCUGGUCAUUGUCUCCUCAUUAACGUCUCUUUAGAGCUUCUGCCUGUUCCCUGCCGGGACCUGACCCAGUGCCUUCCUAAGCCACAGGUUCCUGGACACGGUUCAGUUCUCUUCUCCAGUGUCCACCGCCAUGCAUAUGAAUCCCCCUCCCCUGACUCUGUUUCCCCUAGUCCCUGCCUGUCCUCUCCCAGCUGUUUCCACUCCUUUUGUUUUUAGCUUACAUGUAGUGCUCGCACUGAGCACGGCUACAAACAGCAGGUGCUCAUCUGGUUGUUGAUUUGAAAAUUGAAUAUUUAUUGACUGUCUCCAUGUAUGAGGACCGGUGGGCAACUCUCUCUCUCCUGUAUCUGAGAGUGUGACCCUCAGAGAAGCUAGCUGCUGUGCCAAGGCACCCAGCUGGGGCUGAAGUCAAGUCUCCUGCCUGAGCUCUUCCUUCCUCAGGCCCUGUCAGUGGAGCACUUCUUGUUUUGCUGAACUUGACUUGAACUCAGCAGAAGGUUGGUGUGUUCUAAAAACAGCUAACAUGACUUCAGGGGUUUGAACUGUAGUAGCAUGCUUUUUGCUAACUCAUUCAUCAGAGACACUUGCCUGCCUCUGACUUUGAGCCCCUGUAAUUCACUGCGAUUCUAAAAAUUACCCCUGGCUCCCUAAAGGGCUCAAUUUUAGACUCACGGUGUCUUGACAGUACACGACUCAUUUAAAUCUAGAGCAGCAGGACUUUUUUCUUUUUAUAUCAGAAAUUGGAAGUAGGAAUCACUGUAUUUUAUUCCCUACAAAAAGAUGUCGAUAAAGCUUUAUCAAGUGUAGGACCAGAUACAGCCAGGACUGUGGCUGCUGUCCUGAAAACGUCAUUGUUAUUCAAUCAGCUCCUUAAAGAGCAGAGAAGAGGAAGGAGUCACAGUGUGGGCAUCAUAGAUCCAGUUUCAAAAGCUAGCUGGGUGACCUUGGCACUCGCCCUAACUCCCCAGCCUCGGCUUCCUCACCUGUGUGUGACUGGACACGAGAGAUGAGCAAAGGAGACAGAGUGUUCUCAGCAAUGCCCGUGAUUCAGCCGCUAAACCUAGCCUGGCACUUUAGCAGAGACCACAAUGUCACUUUGGAGAAAACCGGAAUCACUGUUGCUGACAGAGUAGGAGCAGAGUGCUGGGUGAGAAAGAUCCUGGAAUAAAACCGUGAGGCAGAGAUGCCCAGGACCAGGUUAUCCUGGGACACUACUUGGGUUGAGACACCCACAGCCCUUUCCUUACCCAGGACCCUCACCCUCAGGGAGCUGCACACACACCCCUUUCCCAAGAAGGCAAUCAGGUCACUUUGACCUAGCUACUCUUAGUUAAUUCUUUUUCUGUGACUAAACAGCUUCUCAAAACUAUCUAGGGACCAGUGGCAGAGUGCUGAUCCAGCCUGGGCUGGUUUGGUACACUUUCAGCAGGUCACACUGUGUCCUGUAAGCGAACUUUUAGGGGAAAUCCCUAUUUACCAUCUCAUGACUAUGGGCAUGCGUAUGAUUAAAGCCAGAUGCAUUAGGGGUAAGGACGUGCACAGUGAACAAAGGCUUACUUAACAGAAGCCUGUCAGUUAAAACAAAGACCACCUAUAUCUCACCCUUAGCAACAAAGAGGCCCCAGGCCAUUACCAGGUGUUUCGGAAUACUUUAUCUCAGACAGUCCCUGCUCUUUUGCCAAGUAUGGACUCUGUACUUACUACACCUAACCUUGAACGAAAUCCCUCCAUACCUGUGGGAUUUUUAAACAAGAUACCAAGAUCCUGGAAACACCACUCUCCAGACAGAGACCGUUGGCAGCACACUAGGGCCCAGUGCAGAGGACCAUGAGUGGUGGUGGGAGCCGUCCUCGGCCUUGGGUGGACAAGGAGCCCGGUGACCCUUGUUUCUUGAAGAGCAGUGUUGCUUCUGUUUGUCAGAACCUUCCUGAAGGCAGACUUGGAUUUUCGAGGAAGCUGCUCAGAUACACGCACUGAAAGGCCUCCUGUGAAGUCACCACCUUGGCUGAGUUUCUCUGUGAGAGGGAGGAAGCAAAAGUGGCUGUUUGGAGAUCCCCUCACUGCACUUGCGAGCGUGAGGAGCCUGUGAGCGUCAGGAGCUUCUGCAUCCCACGGCUAAACCCCAGAUGUAAUGACAGACCGGCAUACAUGCUCUAACAUCACCAGCACAGGGCUCUGCCAAUGUGCGCCCCAGAGGGAAGAUAAAAUUCCUGGACUUCGAACCCCCAAAACCACGAGCUGAAUUCUCUCUCCCCCUCGCCCCCUUUUUAAAACAUUCUGGGAUUGAACCUACGGCCCUGUACAUGCUAGGACUGGCUUAUGUAGCCUGGUUUAUCCUUGAACUCACUAUGGUGGCCGUGGCUGAUCUUGAACUUCUGACUCACCUUUCUCUGCCUGCCUAAGUCCUGGGAUUAUAUGUCUGGGCCACUAUGCCAGGCUUAUUUUACAUAUUUCGUUUAAAUUUAUUUAUUUGUUUAUGUGUGCCAUAUGUGUGGAGGUCAGAGGAGAAUUAGCAGGAGGAGGACCUUCUACCACGUGGGGCCCAGGGAUUGAAUUCAGGUCAUCAGGCUUGAGGGCCAAUGCCUUUACCCACCACACCAUCUACUUUAUAGGCCCACAUUUUAGAAAUUUUGAUGAAUUUUAUUAAGGAUGUGCAAUUUUAGGGUUGCUGAUUACUGCUAACCUGUUUAUCUUUAAUGACUCAGUUGAUCAAAGUUCAUUUCAUUUUACAUUAAUUUAUUCAUUAGAUUGUAUAAGUUUGACAACACUUAGCACAAGAUCUUGAAAUUUGAACUUUUUUCAGUCUUCAUAGAAUGCUGCAGAAAAUCUUAUUUUAUUUCACAAAAUUCCCAUGACACCUUGUUCUGUGUGGAAAUUAAAAACAUCGCACAAAACUGUCUUCAGGCUGUGUAUGAAAGGUAAAGGAAUCUGACUCGGUCCCACCUCUAAGGUGUUUCAUUGUGUUGCUGCAAACAUUCCACCUCCCCACCCCCUACCCUUGACCCCUGCCACCCACAACUGAAACACCUGUUGGUAUUUCAGAUAAGGGCUUCUCAACCCGUGUAUUGAUAUUAAUAUUAAUAUACUUGUAUUGGUUUUCUUAUUAUUAGCUCGACAAGUUAACACCAAUAUAGUAGCUUAGGACAGCUUGCCGUGACAGGCUAAAACAACACGGAGGUCCCUCCAUCUUGUAUUCUUGCUGAGGCCAUUUCAGGUUUAACUAGAAUUUGAUCUCCUUGAUGGAGAAUUCCAUGGAAAACUACCUAACUCUACUCUAGAAACCUGAGGUCAAGAUGCCCCAGCCAGCAUAUCUUAGCUUCUGUUAAACUGCCUGCUUGAUCAGCCCUUCAGUUCCCUGCAGCUGCCAAGUGAGAUACCAGGAUGUGGUUUUUGUCUUUAAAAAUCCCUUACCCUAAACACUCAGGGUUACACUUGGGUUCCAAAUACCUGAGUAUAGUCCCAGCCAGCUGGAAUAAAGACUUUCAAUUAGCUAUA